Molecule: ribosomal RNA, 252 nt
Filed under: uncultured bacterium
Lineage: Bacteria
Description: partial 16S ribosomal RNA
Rfam family: Bacterial small subunit ribosomal RNA
Source: RNAcentral
UACGAAGGGGGCGAGCGUUGUUCGGAUUUACUGGGCGUAAAGGGCGCGCAGGCGGCGAGUUUUGUCAGGCGUGAAAGCCCCGGGCUCAACCUGGGAAUUGCGCUUGAAACGGGCUUGCUAGAGAUCGGGAGAGGAGAGUGGAAUUCCCAGUGUAGAGGUGAAAUUCGUAGAUAUUGGGAAGAACACCGGUGGCGAAGGCGCUCUCUGGACCGAUACUGACGCUGAGGCGCGAAAGCGUGGGGAGCAAACAGG